CUGGGUUAUAAAAGCGCAAAUUUUGGCUAUUUUUCUUCAGUUUGUUUCUGUUGAACGUAACAAUGAAUUUUUCGUUUAUCCUUUUCUUCUGCCUUAUCGUGAUCUUGGCUCUCACCGUCCCAAGUGAAGCUACCUUCGCGGAUUUUGUCAAGAAAAUUGGGGUAGCCAUUGUGAAACUUAUCAACGGAAUCAAAUAUGGAUUUUCGAACAUUUGAAGUCGCCUUUCCUUCCUAUUUGGGAAAUGUGUUUUAAAUAAAACGAAUUUGCUUGAGAAA
Molecule: long non-coding RNA, 275 nt
Organism: Hermetia illucens (black soldier fly)
Lineage: Eukaryota; Metazoa; Arthropoda; Insecta; Diptera; Stratiomyidae
Exons: 2
Source: RefSeq, a predicted model, not a curated record